Molecule: ribosomal RNA, 268 nt
Filed under: uncultured archaeon
Lineage: Archaea
Description: partial 16S ribosomal RNA
Rfam family: Archaeal small subunit ribosomal RNA
Source: RNAcentral
AGUCACUGACUAUUAGACUACCCCGUAGUCCCACGGACCGUAAACAUGUGCGUUAGGUGUGUCGGUAACCACGCGUUACUGAUGCGCCGAAGAGAAAUCGUGAAACGCACCACCUGGGAAGUACGGUCGCAGGGCUGAAACUUAAAGGAAUUGGCGGGGGAGCACCGCAACAGGUGGAGCCUGCGGUUUAAUUGGAUUCAACGCCGGACAUCUCACCGGAUAAGACAGCUGAAUGAUUGUCAAUCUGAAGGUUUUACAUGACUAGCUG